Molecule: long non-coding RNA, 612 nt
Organism: Stegastes partitus (bicolor damselfish)
Lineage: Eukaryota; Metazoa; Chordata; Actinopteri; Pomacentridae
Exons: 3
Source: RefSeq, a predicted model, not a curated record
GUGAGCCACACCUAUGGUAAAGUUGUUGGAGAGACUCACACCAGAGUCAGUGCAGCCCCCGUAAACCUGGGACUUUGAUGAACCAACCAGUGGUCUAGAAGUGUCCUUCCCCUGCACUUCCUGUCACUCAGGUAGAGCCAGAGAAAGAGUCGUCCUCUUUAGUGUGCAGACUUUGAGCUGGAUUGACAGUAAAGUUGGUGAUUACAUCAGCUUAACAUUUAAAUUCAAAUUGAUGAUGAUGAUUUUGAUUUGAUUGAAAUGAUUGUGAUUUAAAGCUAAAUUCAAUUUAAGUUAUUCAAAUCUAUUUUAUUUUAUUUUAUUUCAAACAGAAAGUUGCGUUUUAAUGGACCUUGAAUGACUCAACACCUUGUGACAGUAUCUGCACGUGGCUGGUAAGUCUCCUGAACUCUCUGUGGCUGUUUAAUCAGUAUGUGCAGCACCGGUCAGGUGUCUGUCUCGUUAUAAUAUCGGUAGAACUUGUCAAUGUUCCAGUAUGUACAGAAAACUGCAGCAGAAUGUGGUUUUAUUUGCUUCCUUUGUACCGACGUUGGUAUAGAAGUUAUUUAAUGAAUCACAGGCUACACUUAGAGACAGACAACCAAGCACACUCAC